This 465-nucleotide ribosomal RNA is filed under the name uncultured bacterium. RNAcentral describes it as "partial 16S ribosomal RNA". It matches the Rfam family "Bacterial small subunit ribosomal RNA", at positions 338 to 795 of the family's 1533-position model. The record is from RNAcentral.
CCUACGGGAGGCUGCAGUGGGGAAUAUUGCGCAAUGGGCGAAAGCCUGACGCAGCGACGCCGCGUGAGGGAUGAAGGUCUUCGGAUCGUAAACCUCUGUCAGCAGGGAAGAACGGUCACUGUGCUAAUCAGCAGUGAAUUGACGGUACCUGAGUAAGAAGCCCCGGCUAACUACGUGCCAGCAGCCGCGGUAAUACGUAGGGGGCAAGCGUUAUCCGGAUUUACUGGGUGUAAAGGGAGCUUAGACGGCAGUGCAAGUCUGGAGUGAAAGUCGGGGGCUCAACCCCCGGACUGCUCUGGAAACUGGACGGCUGGAGUGCAGGAUAGGUAAGUGGAAUUCCUAGUGUAGCGGUGCAAUGCGUAGAUAUUAGGAGGAACACCAGUGGCGAAGGCGGCUUACUGGACUGUAACUGACGUUGAGGCUCGAAAGCGUGGGGAGCAAACAGGAUUAGAUACCCUGGUAGUC